UGUUUGUCUGAAGGGAGUAAGUUAUCUUAACUGAUUGAUCACAGUCAGUUACAGAUUGAACUCCUUGUUCUACUCUUUCACCCCUUAUCACUACUGCACUUGACUAGUCAUAU
This 113-nucleotide Y RNA is filed under the name Microcebus murinus (gray mouse lemur). RNAcentral's name for it is "Y RNA (ENSMICG00000045869.1)". It matches the Rfam family "Y RNA". Rfam says of the family: Y RNAs are components of the Ro ribonucleoprotein particle (Ro RNP), in association with Ro60 and La proteins. The Y RNAs and Ro60 and La proteins are well conserved, but the function of the Ro RNP is not known. Lineage: Eukaryota; Metazoa; Chordata; Mammalia; Primates; Cheirogaleidae. The record is from Rfam by way of RNAcentral.